AAUUUUGGACAAUGGGGGCAACCCUGAUCCAGCCAUCCCGCGUGUGCGAUGAAGGCCNNNGGGUUNUAAAGUACUUUUGGCAGNGACNAAAAGGCGCCGGUUAAUAUCUGGCGCCGCUGACGUUACCUGCAGAAUAAGCACCGGCUAACUACGCGCCAGCAGCCGCGGUAACACGUAGGGUGCAAGCGUGAAUCGGAAUUAGUGGGCGUAGAGCGUGCGUGGGGGGUUUGGCAAGAAAGAUGUGAAAUCCCAGGGCUUAACCUUGGAACUGCAUUUUUAACUGACAGGCUAGAGUAUGUCAGAGGGGGGUAGAAUUCCACGUGUAGCAGUGAAAUGCGUAGAGAUGUGGAGGAAUACCGAUGGCGAGGGCAGCCCCCUGGGAUAAUACUGACGCUCAGGCACGAAAGCGUGGGGAGCAAACA
Molecule: ribosomal RNA, 422 nt
Filed under: uncultured bacterium
Lineage: Bacteria
Description: partial 16S ribosomal RNA
Rfam family: Bacterial small subunit ribosomal RNA
Source: RNAcentral